GGGAACUACGAGCUAAGCUUAAAACCCAAAGGACUUGACGGUACCCUACAUCCUCCUAGAGGAGCCUGUCCCAUAAUCGAUAAUCCCCGCUUAACCUCACCACUUUUAGCCAAUCAGCCUGUAUACUUCCGUCGUCAGCUUACCGCAUGAGCGCAUACUCCGUAAGCCCAAUGUUAAUACAUCAAUACGUCAGGUCAAAGUGCAGCAAAUAAAGUGGGAAAAAGAUGGGCUACACUUUCUACAGUAGAAGAUACGAAAGAUUAAUGUGAAACCUUAAUCAGAAGGUGGAUUUAGUAGUAAAAAGGAAAUAGAAUAUUCUUUUUAAUUUGGCACUGGGGUGUGUACAUACCGCCCGUCACCCUCUUCAUUAAAUAACAACUAGUAAAUAACAAGCUUUCCCCAAAGAAGAAGAGGCAAGUCGUAACAUGGUAAGUGUAUCUGAAGAUGCACUUGGAAACGAAAUAUAGCUUAACCAAAGCCUCUCGCUUACAA
This 492-nucleotide ribosomal RNA is filed under the name Oreobates discoidalis (Tucuman robber frog). Its description in RNAcentral is "partial 12S ribosomal RNA". It matches the Rfam family "Bacterial small subunit ribosomal RNA", at positions 875 to 1533 of the family's 1533-position model. The record is from RNAcentral. Lineage: Eukaryota; Metazoa; Chordata; Amphibia; Anura; Strabomantidae.